Molecule: long non-coding RNA, 1852 nt
Organism: Bos taurus (domestic cattle)
Lineage: Eukaryota; Metazoa; Chordata; Mammalia; Artiodactyla; Bovidae
Source: Ensembl
GUAGGCAUUCCUUUAUUUUUUUCCUUUCAAAUAUGUCCUUAUUUAUUUGGUUGACUCGGGUCUUGGUGCGGCACAGGGUGGGGGUCUUCCUUUGGUCACGUGGAAUCUUCCUUUGGGGCCCACAGAUUCCCGAGCUGUGGCCCACUGGCUCUGUACCGUCCAGGCUUAGUUGCUCCACGGCAUGUGGAAUCUUAGUUCCCCGACCAGAGAUUGAACUUAUGUCCCUGCAUUGCUAGACCACCAGGGAAGUCCUGAGAGUAGACAUCUCGAACAAGUUCCAGGGUGAUGCUGACACAUGCUGCUCUGUCAGGGCCUUGAAUUCAUUAGCAAGGCUUGAGAGCCCUGAUGGGCCUCUUCCACAGAAACACGUAUCAGCUCAUACGCACAGACCUUUCACACCCGCUUAGAGUCACACAGACACUGGAGGCUAUUCUUUGGUCUUCAACCCCCAGGAUAGUGACCCCUGCACCACACAAGAUUACUGUCAAGUCGUUGCCCUUCCCCUAACUCCACCCUAGAAGGUCUCAGAACUGAGAGGACCAAGUCACCUGGGAUACUUGUUAAAAACACAGACACUCUGCCCCUUUCCUCAUUCCCAGAAGACCAGAUUCAAUAGGUCUGGGGCAGGGUGCGGGAAUACACAAGUUUGAUCAAGUUCCCCAGGGGAUUCUGAUCCAACUAUUUUCAUUGAACACACCUGAGAAACACUAAUUACAAACACUUAGGUUUAUGGUUUCCCAGGAAUACGUGUACUGAAGUCUGAAGACUUGAAGGAAUAAAUACUCUACUGAGGAAGUUUAGAGGCUGAGGCUGGUAUUCCUGCUCAAGGGACCCUCCUGAGCAUUCUCUCAAGUCAGCCUAGAACGAUCACUGUGACCACAUGCUUGGUUGAUCCUACCUUCUAGCAGACCAGCAGCUGCCCCCCAGGAAGAAGUCUCCUGUUACACUGAAGCUCUGUCCAGACGAUUCUAAAAAUAGCCCGAUGGAAUCCUGUGGUUGGAAGAAACUGUGAGAGGUCACUGAGUCCGUCCCUCGCCUGCAGAAGGGCACUGGCGUGCAGUCCAGCGUCGGUGCUAUUGGAUACCCCAGAGCCAGGCCAACAGGGAACGGGUCUGAGGCCACUGGCAUGGCUGGCAUCUUGGUCUAAUAAUAAUCAGGUCUUCCUCCAUUCUUGAGAAGAAACUUUUCAUCAGCAGUAGUCCAUUUCCAGAAAUAUACUGUAGCCUGGGGGCUUCCCUUAUGGCUCAGCUGAUAAAGAAUCUGCCUGCAGUGCAGGAGACCUGGGUUCGAUCCCAGGGCUGGGAAGAUCCCCUGGAGAAGGGAAAGGUUACCCACUCCAGUAUUCUGGCCUGGAGCAGGAAAUGGCACCCCACUCCAAUAUUGUUGCCUGCGAAAUCCCAUGGACAGAGGGGCCUGGUGGGUGACAGUCCAUGGGGUCGCAACGAGUCAGACACGACUGAGCGUCUGAGCAUAGGACUUAUCCUGUGUGCUAUGUCUCAGGAACACUUUAACAUAUUUUCAUAAGUAAUUGUCACGUGUGUUCCCAAGGGUUAUUGGCUAUCCUUCUGUCAGUGAGUGGGGUAAAGAGUAGAUCAUUAUCUCACAGUUAGACCAAAACAGAGGGUCUGAAUGUUGCUUUGAUUGACUGUUUGACUCUUUGACACUUGCAUACUUUUUCUCAAACUCUGUAAUUUUGAGGUCACGCUAAUGGAAUGCUCCUUUGUACUCCUGCUGCUGUCUGGAAAUGUCUGUUGUCAUCUUAUUGAUUAAAGAGAUCUCAGAUUUCUAUGGUUUAAUAAGUUCGACCUACAUAGCGGUGAACAGCUCACACUUCACCCAUACUGUUCUGAUG